Molecule: ribosomal RNA, 253 nt
Filed under: uncultured bacterium
Lineage: Bacteria
Description: partial 16S ribosomal RNA
Rfam family: Bacterial small subunit ribosomal RNA
Source: RNAcentral
UACGUAGGGGGCGAGCGUUGUCCGGAUUUAUUGGGCGUAAAGAGCGUGUAGGCGGUUCGGUAAGUCUGUCGUGAAAUCCUGAGGCUCAACCUCGGGCGUGCGAUGGAUACUGCCGGGCUAGAGGAUGGUAGAGGCGAGUGGAAUUCCCGGUGUAGCGGUGAAAUGCGUAGAUAUCUGGAGGAACAUCGGUGGCGAAGGCGGCAUCCUGGACCGGUAUUGACGCUGAGGCGCGAAAGCCAGGGGAGCAAACGGG